UACAGAGGUCCCAAGCGUUGUUCGGAUUUACUGGGCGUAAAGGGUUCGUAGGUGGCUUACUAAGUCAGACGUGAAAUCCCUCAGCUUAACUGGGGAACUGCGUCCGAUACUGGAUGGCUUGAGUUUGGGAGAGGGAUGCGGAAUUCCAGGUGUAGCGGUGAAAUGCGUAGAGAUCGGGCGGAACACCAGCGGCGAAGGCGGCAUCCUGGCCCUAUCCUGACGCUGAGGCGCGAGAGCGUGGGGAGCAAACCGG
RNAcentral lists this ribosomal RNA (253 nucleotides) under uncultured bacterium. RNAcentral describes it as "partial 16S ribosomal RNA". It matches the Rfam family "Bacterial small subunit ribosomal RNA", at positions 524 to 776 of the family's 1533-position model. The record is from RNAcentral.